Molecule: ribosomal RNA, 766 nt
Filed under: Diploschistes scruposus
Lineage: Eukaryota; Fungi; Ascomycota; Lecanoromycetes; Ostropales; Graphidaceae
Description: mitochondrial SSU rRNA
Rfam family: Bacterial small subunit ribosomal RNA
Source: RNAcentral
UGGUAAAAUGUGAUGUACCUAGUAAUAUUAGUGAUUAAUAUGAGGCUAACCGAGUUAGUUAAAAUUCUAAGUAUAUAUGUGAUUAUGACAAUAUGUGCUUAUUUCUUGACCAAGUCACGUGCCAGCCGUCGCGGUAAUACGUGGAAGAUCAGUGUUAUUCAUCUUUAUCAGGUUUAAAGGGUACCUAGACGGUUAAUUAAGCUUUAGUAGGAACUAAUUAACUAGAGUUUAAUGUAAGAAUGAUUGAGUACGGUGAGUGUAGAGAUAAAAUUCUGUCAUACCACUUAGGAACUGGUAAAAGCGAAGGCAACUUUCUAUGUAAAAACUGACGUUAAGGGACGAAGGCUCGUAUCAAAUAACAGGAUUAGAUACCCCAGCAUUGUGGGCAGACAAUGAUGAGUGUCAUAUGCAAGAGAUAAAUAUAUAAAAAAAUAUUUUGUGUAUAAAUGAAAGUGUAAGCACUCCACCUCAAGAGUAACGUGGCAACAUGGGAACUGAAAUCAUUAGACCGUUUCUGAAACUCGUAGUGAAGUAUGUUGUUUAAUUAGAUGGUGCACAAAUAACCUUACCACAAUUUGUAUAACUAUAGUACAUAAUAAUAAUAUAGUUACAAGCGUUGCACGGCUGUCUUUAGUCUAUGUUGUGAAACUGUGGUUAGAUCCAUUAAAUAGACGUAAACCCUUACUUUAUUUAUUAUAAAGUAGUUCGCCGCUAUAUUGGUAGUGAUAUAAGGAACUAGGACAAGUCAUCAUGACCUGAACAUUGU